UGAGAUCCAUUUGCCAGCAUGACUGUUGCCGACCAUAGACUAACAAAUUUCUACUCUUCCAGAUUCUUCAUAAGAUCCAUAUCGGUUGUUGUCUAUCAAUAGGAUUGAGAUUUUUGUUAUUCACAAAAGAGAUGAUGGAUUUUAACUUUACCUCAAAGCUGAUCGUUGGAUCGAUAAUGGUUUGGUCCGGUAAAUGUGCUCCCCUCCAUAGUGAUUGGGCAUAUGGGCAAGAAAAGAAAAGAUGUUCCAUAUCUUCUUACACAACAUUUUCUACAUAGACUAUCUUGGCUUAUCC
RNAcentral lists this long non-coding RNA (295 nucleotides) under Brassica rapa (field mustard). RNAcentral's name for it is "long non-coding RNA (BRAP_LNC005502)". The record is from RNAcentral. Lineage: Eukaryota; Viridiplantae; Streptophyta; Magnoliopsida; Brassicales; Brassicaceae.